Molecule: long non-coding RNA, 988 nt
Filed under: Triticum aestivum (bread wheat)
Lineage: Eukaryota; Viridiplantae; Streptophyta; Magnoliopsida; Poales; Poaceae
Description: long non-coding RNA (TAES_LNC001072)
Source: RNAcentral
CCAAAUCUAAGCGCACAACCAUCCCUCACAAUUUGAAUUCUACCCCAGCAAGUACAGACACGUCCUCUGCAACCUCACACAGAUACGAAAGCGUCAUAAAGCACACCGCACUACGCCGCCACCACGACCUCCAAAACAUGUAUAACGACUGAAAUAAGCGGACGCAUUCUACUCACACACAAGCAUGACAUAUAAGCGGGACGAGGCCGAACAAUACACGAUGGCAUGCCAGAUCCAGAAAAUUAAAAUGAUCAGCAAUUUAAACACCAUGACAACACGUACAGGAAAGGAAAUAUGCAUUUUAGCUAGACAGAAAGCAAGCAAACCUCGAUGGCAGAACAGAGAUGCAACAAAGCAGAAGAUCAGGAUGCAGCAACACAAGAGAUCGCAGAACCUAAUAAAUAAAUGGACAUGAAGUGGUCAGUGCACCGGCAUGCUAUGGAAUAGACAAGUAAAAGAAGAGUCGUUCCCCGGGCAAAUUAAAGAACGGUCCAUUUACCUGAGUUAGAGUGGAGAAGCAGGCAAGCAGAGCAGCCAAGAUGGAUGAGCAUACGAAGGACGAGCGGCCGGCAAAACCAAACACAAAAACAGAAACCAAAUAGAGAUCAAUUUUCAGCUCAACCAGUAGAUUCACUCCUUCAGGUAUACAUCCUAAUUGGUCCUACAAUGAUCACAAGAAAUUAGAGGAUGGAACUUGACUGCCUUCUGUAUCAUUUGAAGGACGAACUUGACUGGCUAUUAAAAUGAUAAAAUGCAUGAUUGCCGCGGCACAUGUACUUUUUUGUGGGAAAACAUGCUGUUAGGUGCAGAAGUAAAGAACAUAUCGCAUGGUUGCUUGUUGGCAUGUAUAAAAUCAUCAGACCAAGACAGAAGAACCAUGAUUAUCAUAUGUACUGGAACCAAGAUCUACAUAGUGGCAGCCAUUGAUCUAGUUACUCAAGGGUAGUGCUACUGUUAAACAACAACUCUAAAGCAAAGUUACUGAAUC